RNAcentral lists this ribosomal RNA (303 nucleotides) under uncultured bacterium. RNAcentral's name for it is "partial 16S ribosomal RNA". It matches the Rfam family "Bacterial small subunit ribosomal RNA", at positions 507 to 807 of the family's 1533-position model. The record is from RNAcentral.
AGCAGUCGCCGCGGUAAUACGAAGGGGGCUAGCGUUGCUCGGAAUGACUGGGCGUAAAGGGCGCGUAGGCGGCGGCCAAAGUCAGGCGUGAAAUUCCCGGGCUCAACCUGGGGGCUGCGUUUGAUACUUGGUUGCUUGAGUGGGGAAGAGGGUCGUGGAAUUCCCAGUGUAGAGGUGAAAUUCGUAGAUAUUGGGAAGAACACCGGUGGCGAAGGCGGCGACCUGGUCCUUUACUGACGCUGAGGCGCGAAAGCGUGGGGAGCAAACAGGAUUAGAGACCCCAGUAGUCCCUGUCUCUUAUAC